CUGAGUUGGGCUGGGGAGAGUCAGAAAGAAAGGGAAGGAGAAACCCAGGAAGAUAAGAGAAGCUGCUCUUGUCCUUUGACAAAUCUGUGCUGUGCUCCUCUGGCUGGUCUGCCCCACUCACAUUCUGCUCAUUUUCUCUCUAAAACAAGGCUGACCAGUGCCUCCACUUGUGUUGAAUGUCUCCAUCCAGGGCCUGCGGACAGCCUUGCAAAUGUGUCAUUGGCAGCAAGGAGGUCUAGGUGUGGCUGUGGAUGGUGAGAUGCAAGUUCAUCUUUGCCUCUGGAAAAACAAGUCAAAAGAUGAAAGGCUUUGAGGUGCAUGCAGCCUCGAUGACAAUGGUGUGUGAACGGCUAAGGGAGAAAAAACACAGAAGUCCAAAUUCGAGGCUCUUUAUGAACAUGGAGCCUGGAUCUCUUGCCACUCCACCCUCCCACCCCAAUCUCACCCAGGGCUCCCCUCCAAGGCCCUGAUGCACAGAAGACGGAACUCCCUCUCAUUAUGGCUUUGAUUAAUGCCAGACUGUUCACUGCUUUCAUUCAACCACAGAGGGAUCUCCCUUAGACUUCAAAUCGAGCCUGGAGCUUUGAUCUGCCCCAAGGGACUACACCCAGAUGCAAGACUCUGUCCAUGUCUGAAGCAAGUCUCCUGGGUCGUGACAGCCUUUCCUGCCAUCUCAUCCAAUAAA
Long non-coding RNA from Eptesicus fuscus (big brown bat), 685 nucleotides. RefSeq lists it as uncharacterized. The transcript is spliced from 3 exons. The record is from RefSeq and is a predicted model, not a curated record. Lineage: Eukaryota; Metazoa; Chordata; Mammalia; Chiroptera; Vespertilionidae.